AACGAACGCUGGCGGCAUGCCUAACACAUGCAAGUCGAACGAUGCUUUCGGGCAUAGUGGCGCACGGGUGCGUAACGCGUGGGAAUCUGCCCUUGGUUCGGAAUAACAGUUAGAAAUGACUGCUAAUACCGGAUGACGACGUAAGUCCAAAGAUUUAUCGCCGAGGGAUGAGCCCGCGUAGGAUUAGCUAGUUGGUGUGGUAAAGGCGCACCAAGGCGACGAUCCUUAGCUGGUCUGAGAGGAUGAUCAGCCACACUGGGACUGAGACACGGCCCAGACUCCUACGGGAGGCAGCAGUGGGGAAUAUUGGACAAUGGGCGCAAGCCUGAUCCAGCAAUGCCGCGUGAGUGAUGAAGGCCUUAGGGUUGUAAAGCUCUUUACCGUGAUGAUAAUGACAGUAGCGGGAGAAUAAGACCCGGCUAACUCCGUGCC
RNAcentral lists this ribosomal RNA (432 nucleotides) under uncultured bacterium. RNAcentral describes it as "bacterial SSU rRNA". It matches the Rfam family "Bacterial small subunit ribosomal RNA", at positions 29 to 509 of the family's 1533-position model. The record is from RNAcentral.